Molecule: ribosomal RNA, 715 nt
Filed under: Escherichia coli
Lineage: Bacteria; Pseudomonadati; Pseudomonadota; Gammaproteobacteria; Enterobacterales; Enterobacteriaceae
Description: bacterial SSU rRNA
Rfam family: Bacterial small subunit ribosomal RNA
Source: RNAcentral
AAAUUGAAGAGUUUGAUCAUGGCUCAGAUUGAACGCUGGCGGCAGGCCUAACACAUGCAAGUCGAACGGUAACAGGAAGCAGCUUGCUGCUUCGCUGACGAGUGGCGGACGGGUGAGUAAUGUCUGGGAAACUGCCUGAUGGAGGGGGAUAACUACUGGAAACGGUAGCUAAUACCGCAUAACGUCGCAAGACCAAAGAGGGGGACCUUCGGGCCUCUUGCCAUCGGAUGUGCCCAGAUGGGAUUAGCUAGUAGGUGGGGUAACGGCUCACCUAGGCGACGAUCCCUAGCUGGUCUGAGAGGAUGACCAGCCACACUGGAACUGAGACACGGUCCAGACUCCUACGGGAGGCAGCAGUGGGGAAUAUUGCACAAUGGGCGCAAGCCUGAUGCAGCCAUGCCGCGUGUAUGAAGAAGGCCUUCGGGUUGUAAAGUACUUUCAGCGGGGAGGAAGGGAGUAAAGUUAAUACCUUUGCUCAUUGACGUUACCCGCAGAAGAAGCACCGGCUAACUCCGUGCCAGCAGCCGCGGUAAUACGGAGGGUGCAAGCGUUAAUCGGAAUUACUGGGCGUAAAGCGCACGCAGGCGGUUUGUUAAGUCAGAUGUGAAAUCCCCGGGCUCAACCUGGGAACUGCAUCUGAUACUGGCAAGCUUGAGUCUCGUAGAGGGGGGUAGAAUUCCAGGUGUAGCGGUGAAAUGCGUAGAGAUCUGGAGGA